Molecule: non-coding RNA, 145 nt
Organism: Gossypium raimondii (Peruvian cotton)
Lineage: Eukaryota; Viridiplantae; Streptophyta; Magnoliopsida; Malvales; Malvaceae
Source: Rfam
UGUUAAAAGUUUCAUCUAUUUGUAUGAUUAAAAGUUUCCAUGAUUGACAGAAUAACUAAAUAGUGACACGUGACGUAUCACGAGUACCUCAUGCUGACAUAUAGGAACCAACUUUUAACAACAGAAAUAGAUGAAACUUAUAACA